Molecule: long non-coding RNA, 215 nt
Organism: Maniola jurtina (meadow brown)
Lineage: Eukaryota; Metazoa; Arthropoda; Insecta; Lepidoptera; Nymphalidae
Exons: 3
Source: RefSeq, a predicted model, not a curated record
AGGAGACCCGUGCUCAGUAGUGAGCUAGCGAUGAGUUGACGAUGAUAAAAAAUAUCACUGUAUGAACGCAGAAUAAAUAAAAUUUCAAGUAUAAAAAAUUGACUUUUCAUCUCACACUUAAAAACGGGAAAUUGAACCUUAUAACUAUGUAGCGUUUAGUCUGUUUUCCGGUACGUGCCUCGUGCCCGCCACGCUUUGAGCAAGUUGUAGCCAAA